AACGAACGCUGGCGGCAUGCCUAACACAUGCAAGUCGAACGAAGCCUUCGGGCUUAGUGGCGCACGGGUGCGUAACGCGUGGGAAUCUGCCCUUUGGUUCGGAAUAACAGUUGGAAACGACUGCUAAUACCGGAUGAUGACGAAAGUCCAAAGAUUUAUCGCCAGAGGAUGAGCCCGCGUAGGAUUAGCUAGUUGGUGUGGUAAAGGCGCACCAAGGCGACGAUCCUUAGCUGGUCUGAGAGGAUGCUCAGCAACACUGGGACUGAGACACGGACGAGAAUCCUACGUGAGGCAGCAGUGGGGAAGAUUGGACAAUGGGCGAAAGCCUGAUCCAGCAAUGCCGCGUGAGUGAUGAAGGCCCUAGGGUUGUAAAGCUCUUUUACCCGGGAUGAUAAUGACAGUACCGGGAGAAUAAGCCCCGGCUAACCCCGUGCCAGCCGCCGCGGUAA
This 449-nucleotide ribosomal RNA is filed under the name uncultured bacterium. RNAcentral's name for it is "partial 16S ribosomal RNA". It matches the Rfam family "Bacterial small subunit ribosomal RNA", at positions 29 to 523 of the family's 1533-position model. The record is from RNAcentral.